RNAcentral lists this long non-coding RNA (1796 nucleotides) under Mytilus galloprovincialis (Mediterranean mussel). Lineage: Eukaryota; Metazoa; Mollusca; Bivalvia; Mytilida; Mytilidae. The record is from RNAcentral.
CUAAAAUUAAUUAGUAGAUUUUCAUCCAAAUUUGUGAAAAAAAUGGGGCGGGUGGGAGGAUUUUAUUUUUUAAAUUUUAUUUCAUAUGAAACCUUCUUGUUACGUGUUAUUCAUAUAUGCAAGUGUAAUAAUAAGCUUGUAUCAUGUAUAUACAUCCAUAAGGUAUCGUGUAUAAGACAAUAACAAUCAAAACCAAGGAGUAACCAAAGACUCAUAAAACAAAAAGACAUUUACAUCAACAGUUACAAAUAAUAAGUAGGAAACAACACGAACUCCACUAAAAACCAGGAGUGAAAUCAGGUGCUCCGGAAGGGUAAGCAUUUCCUGCACCGUAUAUGGCACCCAUCAUGUUAUUUCUUUGUUCAGUUCGGUAAUGAUGGAAGGUUGUUAUGACUGAGGAAGAAUAUCACUGAGAUAUGAUUUCUGACACUCUUUUGUCAUAAUGGCCAAUCAGCUCAUGAUGGUGACCAUAAAAUUGCUUCAGUAAUGACCUUAAUUUGAAUGAUUCAUAACCCUGUCUUAGCAACUUCUGAGAAAGCAGUAUUCCUUGUUCAACAAAAUUAACGUACUUUUAGCUAGCUCUAGAGUAACGUAUCAAUUGAGACACAUAUUCUCCAUAUGCUGGUGCCGCUUUUUCAAAUUCGUAAAUAUAUAUAUAUCUGAUUGGCAACCACUGUUCUACAUGUAAUUGCCACUUUAGAAACCUAUUUUAUAGUAAACAACAAAAAUGUGGAGAAAUGCUCUCUUAAGUUGGACUAUCUAUAUCAAAUGUAUUUUGCUUUCUAACAUGUCUAAGCAAUGUGUUUUUUGUCCUAAUAAAAUGAAGCAAAGGCAUUGGUAUGCAACACGAGUACGAUAAGUACGGAAUAAAAUGAAAACUCAAACAGUGUUGAAAUAAGGCCUAAAAAAAAAAGAUAUGUGUUUCCGGUAACAUCAUUUUGAAAAAUAGGGUCGGUAGGUCGGAAUUUUUUUUUUUUUUUUUUUUUUUUUUUUUGACAUCGUAAAUGAAAUCCGGAAAAUUAUCAUGGUUUUUCCAAGUCCGGAUCCGUAAUUAGUUUCAAAAACCGGAAGUGUGCCAUUUGCAAUGUUUUUGAAGCACCUGCUGUGCAAAUUUCUUGGAUUUUAACCUAUUUGGAAUACCUUUUGACAUUAAUAAAAUGUUUUACUGGCUUUCUAUGCAAGUAGAAGCAAGAAAGAAAAAAAUAUUAUGUCAUCUAUCAGAAGCCUGUGUCAAAAACGGGGUCGGUUGAUACAAUUUUUUUUUUUUUUUUUUGAAGAUCCAAUAAAAAAGUUAGGGUCGGGGCUAAAAAAACAGGGUCGGUCGGGUUACCGGAAACAUCGAUCUUUUUUUUCUCGGCCUAAUAGGGUUGGUCCUUAAUAUGCAACAUGCAAAUAUAAUUACAAUGCAGAACAUAAAGUUGUUUAAUGACUCUAUCAUGGGUAUUGGGACAGAGGAUAUUUGCUGUUUUUCUACAAAAAAGGAAAGGCAUGGAUAAAUCUAAAUCUAAGAGCUUGCUAUAAAUUAAUAAAUUAAAAAUUCGUAUGUUUGUCGAUUUUCUGAACUCAAAAUACGGUCACCAAUCUAUAAAAUUCAUGCUUGUGUCAAUUUCUGUAUUCCAGUCAAACGUGUUCCACGAUUCUUACGCUUUUGGAUUCAUUCACAAUCCAAAUUUCUUGACACAAAGUCAUUGUAUAAAUAAAAGAAAUCAAAGGUGUUUUUCUCACAAACAUUUGUGUCAUUUGUGACAUACUGCGAUUUGCGUUCUUGGACACAGCGUAUUACUCGUAACCCGAAU